Molecule: ribosomal RNA, 462 nt
Filed under: uncultured bacterium
Lineage: Bacteria
Description: partial 16S ribosomal RNA
Rfam family: Bacterial small subunit ribosomal RNA
Source: RNAcentral
GACGAACGCUGGCGGCGUGCUUAACACAUGCAAGUCGAACGGAAAGGCCUUUUCGGAGGUACUCGAGUGGCGAGCGGGUGAGUAACACGUGGGUGAUCUGCCCUGCACUCUGGGAUAAGCCUGGGAAACUGGGUCUAAUACCGGAUAGGACCGCACUUUAGUGUGUGUGGUGGAAAGUUUUUUCGGUGUAGGAUGAGCCCGCGGCCUAUCAGCUUGUUGGUGGGGUAAUGGCCUACCAAGGCGGCGACGGGUAGCCGGACUGAGAGGUUGGUCGGCCACAUUGGGACUGAGAUACGGCCCAGACUCCUACGGGAGGCAGCAGUGGGGAAUAUUGCACAAUGGGCGCAAGCCUGAUGCAGCGACGCCGCGUGGGGGAUGACGGCCUUCGGGUUGUAAACUCCUUUCGCCAGGGACGAAGCGUUUUGUGACGGUACCUGAAGAAGAAGCACCGGCUAACUACGU